UACGUAGGCAGCGAGCGUUGUUCGGAGUUACUGGGCGUAAAGGGUGUGUAGGCGGUUUCUAAGUUUGGUGUGAAAUCUCCCGGCUCAACCGGGAGGUGCGCCGAAAACUGGGAGACUAGAGUGCGGGAUGGGAGAGUAGAAUUCCUGGUGUAGCGGUGAAAUGCGUAGAUAUCAGGAGGAAUACCGGUGGUGUAGACGGCUCUCUGGACCGCCACUGACGCUGAGACGACGAAAGCGUGGGUAGCAAACAGG
Molecule: ribosomal RNA, 252 nt
Filed under: uncultured bacterium
Lineage: Bacteria
Description: partial 16S ribosomal RNA
Rfam family: Bacterial small subunit ribosomal RNA
Source: RNAcentral